RNAcentral lists this ribosomal RNA (206 nucleotides) under uncultured bacterium. RNAcentral describes it as "partial 16S ribosomal RNA". It matches the Rfam family "Bacterial small subunit ribosomal RNA", at positions 568 to 774 of the family's 1533-position model. The record is from RNAcentral.
CGUGUAGGCGGAUUGAUAAGUUUGAAGUGAAAUCCUAUAGCUUAACUAUAGAACUGCUUUGAAAACUGUUAAUCUAGAAUGUGGGAGAGGUAGAUGGAAUUUCUGGUGUAGGGGUAAAAUCCGUAGAGAUCAGAAGGAAUACCGAUUGCGAAGGCGAUCUACUGGAACAAUAUUGACGCUGAGACGCGAAAGCGUGGGAGCAAACA